GACGCACGCCGCCCAGGCCUCACCUCCUGCGGGGCACAGAUCGGCGCCGCUCGCUUGCUUACGUCACAUCCGGCAGGACCCACCUAGAGCAGGCGCGGGGGAGCGCCGGCCUUUGCGAGUCGUUCCUGUGAGUCCAGGGAUGUUUCCAUAUGGCGCCGCCAGCAUCUCGGGAAUCCCGCUGGUUCAUGCGUCCUCACGAAGUUAACCCUUAGCUGGGCGCCGCAGCCCUGAAUCGCGCGCUCCCUUCGGGAGCUCUGGCCGUUUGCUGUGAAGAGGCGUUUUCCUGGAGCGGAGUUGAGUCUUCACGCUUCUUAUGCGCGCUCGAGGUCCCUUUCCUGGAGCGCCUUCCAUGUCCCCUCCGACCUGUUCCCGCUCGUGUCCCCACGGCUCCCUGCCGGGCAUGGAGCCAAACCCCUGCAGCUUGAACUCUCGACCCUGAGAUGAAGAACACCUGAGAUGCUAUCAACAGUCAGAUGCUCAACCGCUGAAUCACCUUAUUCAUAUGUCCUACUUGUAUAGGCAAAACUGGGGAGUAAAUUCCCAGGAGUGGUGGAUACAUCCAUCAACUCCAUACAAGUUAAGUCACUUAUCACUCGCCAGUAAUAUGUGAGCUCAAAUAGUAUUUUAAAUACACUGGGUGUUUUGGAAGUUUCAGUUUAGCUAUUAAAAACAUGUAUUUUCAAGAAAUAACUUGCAUGCCUUUGUUGGUUUACAAAGUGCUUUAAUAUAUUUCAUGAGAUUCUUACAA
Molecule: long non-coding RNA, 748 nt
Organism: Mustela lutreola (European mink)
Lineage: Eukaryota; Metazoa; Chordata; Mammalia; Carnivora; Mustelidae
Exons: 2
Source: RefSeq, a predicted model, not a curated record